ACAGUUCUCGGAUUUGAUGUAAA
RNAcentral lists this non-coding RNA (23 nucleotides) under Arabidopsis thaliana (thale cress). Lineage: Eukaryota; Viridiplantae; Streptophyta; Magnoliopsida; Brassicales; Brassicaceae. The record is from RNAcentral.